Pipra filicauda (Wire-tailed manakin) is the source of this 4062-nucleotide long non-coding RNA. RefSeq lists it as uncharacterized. The record is from RefSeq and is a predicted model, not a curated record. Lineage: Eukaryota; Metazoa; Chordata; Aves; Passeriformes; Pipridae. The transcript is spliced from 3 exons.
UCUUCCCAGGCUGAGCCCAUGGAGGGAUGGCACAGCUUGGUAAAUGCCUGCAGACACACUACGAGCGUGGGCAGCAGUGUGGGAGGGAAACAAGAGCCUUUUUUGUGGGUACCAGAUAGAGAGCUGAUGGUAGGCUGCAAUAUCUGGUCAGGCAGAGCUCAGAGCAAAUGCCUGCUUGCAUAGUGUCCUGUUGCCUCCAGGGAUGACAGUGUCUCCAUCCAUCACUUUCUGAGUUCUGCAGGAUUAAGAGAUGCUCCUGGUGAAGGAGAUUGGACCAGCUGGGUGCUACUUACUGUGCUUUGAUGGUUUUAGUCAGUGUGCCAGGGUGAGAAGGAAGAAAGGGACCCAGGAAACUCAACUGCUGUGAAUUUUGCAUGGACCUCUGUGUUCAGGUAUGUUCUGCAUCUUGGAAGGAGGAGUGGAUGGAGAGGAUUCAGCAGAGCAAACCAACAGCAAACAGGUCACUGCAACACUCCUGGCUGCCAACGGGGCCAAGAAAAAAAGAACCACCACAAUCUAGAGAGGCUGGAAAAAGGCCCAUGUAAUCAUUUCUCAGUGGGACACAAGAAGAAACAGAAAUCAAAGCCUCUGGACACAGUUUCCCCAACUCAGCUUCUGGAGCCUGGAUCAGCAGUUUUUCAGAGGAUAGAAAAGGAAGCUUGAGUUAUGCUCCUCUUUCUGUGCAUGGAAAUAAUAAAAUGAAGGGUAAAGCCAAGCAUCAGUCAUACAGCAAACUGCAAAGUGGCGGCAUUUCCCAGAAAUUGAAGCAAAUGCAAAAUAGUUUGUUUUUGGGGUUAAGUACGUGUCACUUAGAUAUAAAUUCUGCCAUGUGCACCAUUUGUUAAAGCCUCUGUCACACAAACCCAGCUCUUUUCCAGCACAUGCUCACAGCAGGGCUGAGGUACUUAACAGCUUCUAACAAGGACAAUUUACCUGGUGGGAUGUAGCCUAGUGAAUUGCAAGACCUACUUUAUGGAAUAAGCCACAGAGCACAUGAAAUAUCGAUGUGAAGGGCACACGCAGCACGUCAGGAGUCAGCACACAAGUACCCUUUUAAGGCAGUAUGGCAUUGGACCAAAAUAAAAUGAUGGUUUUCCUCCAUGAGAGGAGCAACACAGAGAGAGAGAAUUUUUCUUUGCCUUCCUCCAUGACUAAAGCUCUCAGACCCACAGUCCUCCCUUGCUGUAUGAGGGAAAAGGUGCCAUGCAGAGCUCCAGGUGACAGUGACCCUUCUCCUCCAAGGGUGCAAGGGCCGUCCUGCCCCAGGCUCCCCCUGUGGGAUCAUUCUGUCUCUCAGCACAUUUGGCCAAAGCAGGUUCAAACUCCACAACUAUAGAAACAUCCACCCUAGUCACAAGGAUAGUAAACAGUCUUUCAUUUCCAGCUUGGUUUUUUGGAUUCACUCCCAUUCUUAUACCCACGGAGAAAAAGAGCUCUUGUGCUUCACAUUCUGAAUGUGUGAUCCUUGGCCUCACAGCUGUCACAUGGACAUUUUUGUGCUCAAGAAGCUGCUCCUAGGAUGCUAUUUGAUUGCCAAGGAACUCUAAGUUUAACCUGAAGAAGAUCUCUAUGUGAAAGAGGUGGAAAAUUCCUGUAGAAGAAACUAAAAGUAAUUUUUUUCCUCCUAGCUGAAGCAUCUCUUGGGCAGCCAGUUCCAACAUGCAAAGCUAUGUCCAAAAAAAUAAUAAAUCCUAGGAAUGACAAUGGGCUUAGAAACCUGCUUGGUGCAUGAAGCAGAUAACUAGUGUUCACUUAUACCACAGAAGGUGACAUACUUUGGUGUUUUAGUUGCCUGUGGUGUUGCUAUAAUCAGUUUUCCCUCUGCAGGGAAAAAAAAUUAAAGUAUUUCUGUGGAAUAGCUUUUUCUCCAAAAGCAGAGGAAAGCAAGCAAGCGUUCAGAAAUGUAGCCUGGGGGGCAGCAUGAGUGCUUCUGACAGUGCUAAGAACAAAGACAUUGUAAACUACAAAGCUCUUCACUUGGUAUCAGUAUUCCUGCCAGAAACCCUCCAGAUUUACCUGUAAGCAGUAAUUACAGUAUGGGAAAGGAUGUGUUUAUUCUGCUGUAUACCUGACCAGAUAGAAAGGAGCCCAGCUCUCGAAACACCUCACAAGUACAUUUAUUAGUCAGGAUCAAUCUGUCUCAAAGCAUGACCCAUUUCAUACCCCAAAUGGCAUUUCAUUACAGUGCAGCUGCACAAGCCUCUGUUCUCCCUGCCCAGAUCCUUGAUUUGCCAGGGCAGAGGGUAGCACAGCCCUCAUUUACACACAUCGCUUCCUGGAUUUGUUUAGGUUUGAGCACAGGAGUUCAAGAGAAGUCUUUGGUUUUGUCCUAAUCAUUUGAAAAGCUUCUUUCUUUUCUUUCUCCACUGUUUAUUGUCCCCAUCUUCAGUAUCAUCAGGAGGGUCUGGCAUUACAAAGCCAUCAGUCAGUUUAUAAUAGACUAUUGUGGAAUCUGUCUCAACUAUGGCCAAGGUAACUGACAGCGGGGUGUCAGGAUCCUCUGGGGGGAGAGAGGCUUCUUUCAGUAUUUCCCUUAACCUAGAAAAAGAAAAAAAUUCAGUUAGAAAGGAGUCCACAACCACCUGUGAUGGCACAAAGGCAGAAGUGCACAAUUGCUAUUUUUAUUCAGCCUAGUUUUAUUCUGCAAACUUGUCUCCACUAAAGAAAACAUCGUAUCUGUUCUAAUAAAAUUCCAAAUUCAUAUAAUCAAGAAACAAAAGAAAAUAACAGAGAAUCUUAUACAAAUAUACCGGUUUCAUACGUUUCUGCUGGAAAUGGCACAACACACGCUUCUAAGCUUUCCUUAGGUGCAUUCCUGUGCACGUGCCUCAGCCAUCCUUCAACUAUCACAAUCCUAGCAUGGCAAUCUCUAAUGGCCCUGUUUUCAUUAGGCUAAAAUAAAAAAUCUAAUUAAAUAACACCUGGUGUUCAAUUAGACAACUAAAUAAUUAAGACUUGAUCCAUCUGUAGAGGCAAGUCUUCCAGUCUCUGUGCCACAGUUCUCUGCCAGACUGUGGAAGACCCAGGAGCCCAAGCCAGGUUUCUCUACCUCCCUGUCUAGACUAGAAGCCACAAGACUAAUGUUCUUCAGGACAGUCAGCAUAAAUAACGUCUUCUUUAAAAAUUCAAGACAAAGUUAUGCAAUUUUUCCUGUUUAGCUUAUUUUAAGAGGAAUAUGGCAGUUACUUUUCGGUUCAGAGCUGAGGACAACACUGAUCCCUGGAGUCUUUGGAUUCCUGGCACGACUGGGGAACAAGUACUGAAGGAGAGUGGUGCCCAGGGGCAGAACAAUAAAAACCCCCACCCCGAGAUUUCCACAGGAAGCUUCCUCCUUCAUCCAGAGGGCUUGUCUGGGAUUGCUGGAAGAGGUUAUGCUCUGGGAACAGGUCAGCUACGCACUGGGAAAAACCACCCUCACUUCACGUGCCCUGGAGAUCUCCCCCACCAGAAGACAUGCAUUUCUGAAGCUGGACACUGCAGCUGAAAAUAAGGCUCUUUCUAAAUGCAUCAGCUUUCAAACUUUAAUCAUCAUCUUCCUUCGAAACCUCUUUGAUCCCUUAAUAAAAGCCAAAUGGAAGGCGGCAGAGAAUAAAGAGCAGCCUGGAAAGCCUGCAUUGUUAAGCCCGUGACCUUCUUAAGAUCCAUCUGUGUUCUGAACUGUGCAUAAUUCAGCCUGGCUAAAUCCAGGACUGCCUUGCCUUUUGCUUUCACCACUGGCCCACACAUAAAGCAAGGCAAUACAAUAUAGGCAGUAAUUGCAUGCAACAGGGACACCGUGGCUGUGAAAAGCUACAGCCUGGCUCUCCUACAACAGCACACUUCAUAACAACUGAACAAAUAAGGUAAGAAAGACUGUACUGUACUGGCCACCUGGGCACCUUCUGCUCCUGUCACUUCCAGCCCCUGUUCAGGGGUACACAGCAAGAAUCCACUUGUCACACACGGAGUCAUGGAAUGAUUUGGGUUGGCAGUGACCUUAAAGGUAAUCCAGUUCCAACACCCCUGCCCUGGGCAGGGACACCUUCCACUAGCCCAGGUCGCUCCAAGCCCCGUCCAACCUGG